This 966-nucleotide ribosomal RNA is filed under the name Stenotrophomonas maltophilia. Its description in RNAcentral is "bacterial SSU rRNA". It matches the Rfam family "Bacterial small subunit ribosomal RNA", at positions 60 to 994 of the family's 1533-position model. The record is from RNAcentral. Lineage: Bacteria; Pseudomonadati; Pseudomonadota; Gammaproteobacteria; Lysobacterales; Lysobacteraceae.
GGCCGCACACGGAGGAGCUUCGCUCUCUGGGUGGCUAGUGCGCGUGACGAGCGUGGAGCGAAUACAUCCGAAUCUACUUUUUCAUGGUUGGAUAACGUACCGGAAACUUACCCUAAUACCGCAUUACGACCUACGGGUGAGCCCUGGGGAUCUUCGGACCUGUGACACGAUUGAAUGAGCCGAUGUCGGAUUACGCUAGUUGGCGGGGUAAAGGCCCACCAAGGCCGACGCAUCGCGCUAGCUAGGUCUGAGAUGGAUGAUCAACCACACUGGAACUGAGUACACGGUCCAAACUCCUACGGAAGGCAGCAGUGGGGAAUAUUGGACAAUGGGCGCAAGCCUGAUCCAGCCAUACCGCGUGGGUGAAGAAGGCCUUCGGGUUGCAAAGCCCUUUUGUUGGGAAACAAAUCCAACUGGUUAGUACCCGGUUGGAAUGAAGGCCCCCAAAGAAUAAGCGCCGGCUAACUUCGUGCCACCAGCCGCGGUAAUACUAAUGGUGCUAACGUUACUCGGAAUUACUGGGCGUAAACCGUGCGUACGUGGGCGAUUAAGUCCGUUGUGAACCCCCAGGUCUCUACCUGGGAACUGCACUGGAUACUGGUCGACUAGAAUGUGAUACAGGGUAGCGGAAUUCCUGGUGUAGAAGUGAAAUGCAUACAGAUCAGGGAGGAGCAUCCAUGGGGAACGCAGCUGCCUGGACCAUCCUUGACACUGAGGCACAAAAGCGUGUGGAGCAACCGGGAUUACAUACCCUGGUAGACCACGCCCUACACGAUGCGAACUGAAUGUUGGGUGCAAUUUGAAACGCAGUAUCAAAUCUAACGCGUUAAAUUCGCCCGCCUGGAGAAGUACUGUCCGCAAGACGGAAACCUCAAAGGAAAUUGACGGGGGGUCCCGCACCAGCCCGUGGGAGGUACGUGGGUUUUAGAUACAAUACACACCCAAAGAAACCUUCCCAUUGGCCUU